Schistosoma haematobium is the source of this 45-nucleotide non-coding RNA. Lineage: Eukaryota; Metazoa; Platyhelminthes; Trematoda; Strigeidida; Schistosomatidae. The record is from Rfam.
AUCCAGUUGACGAGUCCCAAAUAGGACGAAACGUGCGUCCUGGAU